GAUGAAGAACGUAGCAAAAUGCGAUAAGUAAUGUGAAUUGCAGAAUUCAGUGAAUCAUCGAAUCUUUGAACGCACAUUGCGCCCGCCAGUAUUCUGGCGGGCAUGCCUGUUCGAGCGUCAUUUCAACCCUCAAGCACAGCUUGGUGUUGGGACUCGCGUUAAUUCGCGUUCCUCAAAUUGAUUGGAGGUCACGUCGAGCUUCCAUAGCGUAGUAGUAAAACCCUCGUUACUGGUAAUCGUCGCGGCCACGCCGUUAAACCCCAACUUCUGAAUGUUGACCUCGGAUCAGGUAGGAAUACCCGCUGAACUUAAGCAUAUCAAUAAGCGGAGGA
This 332-nucleotide unclassified non-coding RNA is filed under the name soil metagenome. RNAcentral's name for it is "partial contains 5.8S ribosomal RNA, internal transcribed spacer 2, and large subunit ribosomal RNA". The stretch from base 1 to 120 matches the Rfam family "5.8S ribosomal RNA", at positions 35 to 154 of the family's 154-position model. The record is from RNAcentral.